This 196-nucleotide ribosomal RNA is filed under the name uncultured yeast. RNAcentral's name for it is "partial 26S rRNA". It matches the Rfam family "Eukaryotic large subunit ribosomal RNA", at positions 85 to 276 of the family's 3401-position model. The record is from RNAcentral. Lineage: Eukaryota; Fungi.
UACGCGAGUGAACCGGGAAAAGCUCAAAUUUGUAAUCUGGCUGUCUUCGAUAGUCCGAGUUGUAAUCUAUAGACGUGUUUUCCGUGCUGGACCGUAUCUAAGUCCCUUGGAACAGGGUAUCAAAGAGGGUGACAAUCCCGUGCUUGAUACGACCACCAGUGCUCUGUGAUACACGUUCUACGAGUCGAGUUGUAUA